UGUACUAGGAUGUCUUGAAAUCUACUCGAGCCCAGGUAGAGAGAGAACUUCUAAUGGAUGACGUCUUACGGAUUGAAGACAUGCCUUCUUACAGCCUUCUCGUUUAGCAAUAACCCAUUACAGUUUCAGGCCAGGCUGGUUCAGGCCACUGGUGUAUUUGUUUAACAUUGAAGUUUUGCCUGAGGUGGGUGGGCAUGCAUAGAGUUGUGAUACUGAUGAGUAAUUUUGUAUAUUUACAUUUUUUGAAGCCCCAUUUACGAAGUUCGAAGGGGCAGAACUAUCAACAGAAGAAAGAUGUAAAUGAAAAUUUGAACACUGUUCUCCUUUUACUUAUACGAAUUAGCCAUCCAAAUUGACUCUUUUUUCCA
Long non-coding RNA from Populus euphratica (Euphrates poplar), 368 nucleotides. RefSeq lists it as uncharacterized. The transcript is spliced from 2 exons. NCBI's taxonomy places the organism in Eukaryota, Viridiplantae, Streptophyta, Magnoliopsida, Malpighiales, Salicaceae. The record is from RefSeq and is a predicted model, not a curated record.